AACGAACGCUGGCGGCAUGCCUAACACAUGCAAGUCGAACGAGACCUUUCGGGGUCUAGUGGCGCACGGGUGCGUAACGCGUGGGAAUCUGCCCUCGGGUUCGGAAUAACACAGAGAAAUUUGUGCUAAUACCGGAUGAUGUCUUCGGACCAAAGAUUUAUCGCCCAAGGAUGAGCCCGCGUAGGAUUAGGUAGUUGGUGGGGUAAUGGCCUACCAAGCCGACGAUCCUUAGCUGGUCNGAGAGGAUGAUCAGCCACACUGGGACUGAGACACGGCCCAGACUCCUACGGGAGGCAGCAGUGGGGAAUAUUGGACAAUGGGCGAAAGCCUGAUCCAGCAAUGCCGCGUGAGUGAUGAAGGCCUUAGGGUUGUAAAGCUCUUUUACCAGGGAUGAUAAUGACAGUACCUGGAGAAUAAGCUCCGGCUAACUCCGUGCCAGCAGCCGCCGUAAC
Molecule: ribosomal RNA, 452 nt
Filed under: uncultured bacterium
Lineage: Bacteria
Description: bacterial SSU rRNA
Rfam family: Bacterial small subunit ribosomal RNA
Source: RNAcentral